ACGGGAGGCAGCAGUGGGGAAUAUUGCACAAUGGGGGAAACCCUGAUGCAGCGACGCCGCGUGAGUGAAGAAGUUAUUCGUAAUGUAAAGCUCUAUCAGCAGGGAAGAAAAUGACGGUACCUGACUAAGAAGCCCCGGCUAACUACGUGCCAGCAGCCGCGGUAAUACGUAGGGGGCAAGCGUUAUCCGGAUUUACUGGGUGUAAGGGGAGCGUAGACGGUGAAGCAAGUCUGAUGUGAAAGGCCGGGGCUCAACCCCGGGACUGCAUUGGAAACUGUUUUACUAGAGUGCCGGAGAGGUAAGCGGAAUUCCUAGUGUAGCGGUGAAAUGCGUAGAUAUUAGGAGGAACACCAGUGGCGAAGGCGGCUUACUGGACGGUAACUGACGUUGAGGCCCGAAAGCGUGGGGAGCAAACAGGAUUAGAUACCCUGGUA
This 434-nucleotide ribosomal RNA is filed under the name uncultured Lachnospiraceae bacterium. RNAcentral's name for it is "partial 16S ribosomal RNA". It matches the Rfam family "Bacterial small subunit ribosomal RNA", at positions 341 to 792 of the family's 1533-position model. The record is from RNAcentral. Lineage: Bacteria; Bacillati; Bacillota; Clostridia; Lachnospirales; Lachnospiraceae.